RNAcentral lists this ribosomal RNA (511 nucleotides) under uncultured bacterium. Its description in RNAcentral is "partial 16S ribosomal RNA". It matches the Rfam family "Bacterial small subunit ribosomal RNA", at positions 28 to 523 of the family's 1533-position model. The record is from RNAcentral.
GAUGAACGCUGGCGGCGUGUCUAAGGCAUGCAAGUCGAACGGAGAAAUUGGAUUCGCAAGAAUUUGAUUUCUUAGUGGCAAACGGGUGAGUAACACAUUGGUAACCUGCCCCGAAGUUCAGAAUAACGUUCCGAAAGGAACGCUAAUACUGGAUGUGUCCACGGAUCAUAAGGUCCGUGAGUAAAGCACAAAAGGCGCUUCGGGAGGGAUCUAUGUCUUAUCAGCUAGUUGGUGAGGUAACGGCUCACCAAGGCUAUGACGAGUACCGGGUGUGAGAGCAUGACUCGGCUCACUGGGACUGAGACACUGCCCAGACUCCUACGGGAGGCAGCAGUAGGGAAUCUUCCGCAAUGGACGAAAGUCUGACGGAGCAACGCCGCGUGAGUGAUGAAGGCUUUCGGGUCGUAAAACUCUGUUGUUAGGGAAGAACAAGUGCUAGUUGAAUAAGCUGGCACCUUGACGGUACCUAACCAGAAAGCCACGGCUAACUACGUGCCAGCCGCCGCCGUAA